RNAcentral lists this ribosomal RNA (390 nucleotides) under uncultured bacterium. RNAcentral describes it as "bacterial SSU rRNA". It matches the Rfam family "Bacterial small subunit ribosomal RNA", at positions 29 to 409 of the family's 1533-position model. The record is from RNAcentral.
AAUGAACGCUGGCGGCGCGCCUAAUACAUGCAAGUCGAGCGAGAAGACGUAGCAAUACGUUUGUAAAGCGGCGAACGGGUGAGGAAUACAUGGGUAACCUACCCUAGAGUGGGGAAUAACUAGCCGAAAGGUUAGCUAAUACCGCGUACGCUCCUUGGACUUCGGUUCAGGGAGGAAAGCGAUGCCGAGGGUAUCGCGCUCUUGGAUGGGCUCAUGUCCUAUCAGCUUGUGGUGAGGUAACGGCUCACCAAGGCUUCGACGGGUAGCUGGUCUGAGAGGACGAUCAGCCACACUGGCACUGCGACACGGGCCAGACUCCUACGGGAGGCAGCAGUAAGGAAUAUUGCGCAAUGGGCGAAAGCCUGACGCAGCGACGCCGCGGUGGGGGAU